Molecule: unclassified non-coding RNA, 231 nt
Filed under: Hevea brasiliensis (rubber tree)
Lineage: Eukaryota; Viridiplantae; Streptophyta; Magnoliopsida; Malpighiales; Euphorbiaceae
Source: RNAcentral
GAGGUUACCGCAAAUCAUAAACACACAACCAAUUUACAAAAAAUAUCAUCUUCAGCUUAUAAAAUAAAAUAAAAUAAAAUAAAAACGCCACACACACAAAGCUACCCAACAGGAGCACCAAUGUUUGAUGGAAGCAACCAUCCAGCAUGGGCCGUAAGAAUAAGAGUUCAUAUCAAUGCACAAGACCUUUGGGGAGUAGUUGAGGAAGACUACGAAGUUCCUGAUCUGCCU